RNAcentral lists this ribosomal RNA (446 nucleotides) under uncultured bacterium. RNAcentral's name for it is "partial 16S ribosomal RNA". It matches the Rfam family "Bacterial small subunit ribosomal RNA", at positions 338 to 795 of the family's 1533-position model. The record is from RNAcentral.
CCUACGGGUGGCAGCAGUCGAGAAUCUUUCACAAUGGACGAAACUCUGAUCGUGCGACGCCGCGUGGAGGAAUGAAGGUCUUCGGAUUGUAAACCCCUGUCAGGUGGGAGCAAAUGAAAAAGAUAGUACCACAAGAGGAAGAGACGGCUAACUCGGUGCCAGCAGCCGCGGGAAUACUGAGGUCUCAAGCGUUGUUCGGAAUCACUGGGCGUAAAGCGUGCGUAGGCUGUUUCGUAAGUAGGGUGUGAAAGGCGCGGGCUCAACCCGCGGACGGCACAUGAGACUGGGAGACUAGAGUAAUGGAGGGGGAACCGGAAUUCUCGGUGUAGCAGUGAAAUGCGUAGAUAUCGAGAGGAACACUCGUGGCGAAGGCGGGUUCCUGGACAUUAACUGACGCUGAGGCACGAAGGCCAGGGGAGCGAAAGGGAUUAGAUACCCUAGUAGUC